Molecule: ribosomal RNA, 253 nt
Filed under: uncultured bacterium
Lineage: Bacteria
Description: partial 16S ribosomal RNA
Rfam family: Bacterial small subunit ribosomal RNA
Source: RNAcentral
UACGAAGGGGACUAGCGUUGUUCGGAAUUACUGGGCGUAAAGCGCACGUAGGCGGAUUUGUAAGUCAGGGGUGAAAUCCCGGGGCUCAACCUCGGAACUGCCUUUGAUACUGCAAAUCUCGAGUCCGAUAGAGGUGGGUGGAAUUCCUAGUGUAGAGGUGAAAUGCGUAGAUAUUGGGAGGAACACCAGUGGCGAAGGCGGCUCACUGGACCGGAACUGACGCUGAGGCGCGAAAGCGUGGGGAGCAAACGGG